RNAcentral lists this ribosomal RNA (274 nucleotides) under uncultured bacterium. RNAcentral describes it as "partial 16S ribosomal RNA". It matches the Rfam family "Bacterial small subunit ribosomal RNA", at positions 523 to 796 of the family's 1533-position model. The record is from RNAcentral.
AUACGGAGGGGGCUAGCGUUGUUCGGAAUUACUGGGCGUAAAGCGCACGUAGGCGGAUUAAAAAGUUAGAGGUGAAAUCCCUGGGCUUAACCCUGGAACUGCCUUUAAAACUAGUAGUCUAGAGUUCGUGAGAGGUGAGUGGAAUUCCAAGUGUAGAGGUGAAAUUCGUAGAUAUUUGGAGGAACACCAGUGGCGAAGGCGGCUCACUGGCUCGAUACUGACGCUGAGGUGCGAAAGCGUGAGUAGCAAACAGAAUUAGAAACCCGAGUAGUCC